This is a long non-coding RNA of Oryctolagus cuniculus (rabbit), 952 nucleotides long. RefSeq lists it as uncharacterized. NCBI's taxonomy places the organism in Eukaryota, Metazoa, Chordata, Mammalia, Lagomorpha, Leporidae. The record is from RefSeq and is a predicted model, not a curated record.
AAUCUUAAAAAAAAAAAAUCCAGAAGGAACAGUUCCCCAGCUAUGGAGAGUUGCCUUCUAAACCACCUUUGGCCUCAUGUUGCCAUCACCUCCCCCACCCACUUCCAUCUGUGAGACAUAGAGCUGUUUUGACACCUAGGAGUAACCAUAUUUUCGGUUUUGCUCUGGUGAGCCUGGCAGGUUGCACAGAAAGUCAGCUUGACAUUUUGGCCUAAAACGAGUGAUAAAAUAAAGUCAAACUAUCUUCCAUGUUUUUUCACAGAUGUCCAAAUAAAACAAGUUUAGGGGAAGAAGAGGAGAGGUUUGAAGGAGCAGAAGUCCCCUACAGUCUUGCUCGGAGCACUGCCGCGGAGUGAGCUCCGGCCGCAGCGCACCUGCGGGAAGGGCAGGUGGGCAGAGAGGGGGACAGCAAUCCUGCAGGCACCACCAGAGGCUUCUAGCAAGGAGCAGAGUGGCUCAUCAGCUCUUCUGCGUGUGCUCGCAAAUUAGACAUCCAUCCCAAAAGACAUUGAAAGUGAAUCAGAAGGCAAUUAAAUGAUGAAUUCGUGCUGCCCCCAGCCGCUGCGGAUGCUAUCUGACUGAUUAACCUCCGUCGCGGAGCUCUCUCUGACUGAAGGAAGCAAUGACGGAAAACGCUUGGCCUAUCACAUGACUGAUCCUGGCUGUCAUGAGCCAUCGUUUUCUAACUGCAAGCUUUCAUUUCCAAAGCCCUGGCACGGUUUCAGGAGCUGUAAACCCUCAUGCAUCCAAAGAAAUUCUCAAGAUGAGGAAAAAGGACUCGGCGAAAUGUGCGCAUCACCACGAUGUUACAGCUGGCAAAAUCCUGAAACACAAUGUGACUUCACACCUAGAUGGAUCGUGCAUCUAUUGUUUGUUGUCACUGUCACCUUCGCCUCUGUAAUUACUGACCCUCAAGUGUCCUGAUGGAAUUACCUUAGGAAAUUGGAAACAA